CGGUGACCCGCCUUCGGGUGGUGAUCAGUGCGAACGGGUGAGUAACACGUGGGUAACCUGCCCCUCACUCUGGGAUAACUCCGGGAAACCGGGGCUAAUACCGGAUACGAGCCCGGUCCGCAUGGACCGGGUUGGAAAGUUUUUCGGUGAGGGAUGGACCCGCGGCCUAUCAGCUUGUCGGUGGGGUAACGGCCUACCGAGGCUUUGACGGGUAGCUGGUCUGAGAGGACGACCAGCCACACGGGGACUGAGACACGGCCCCG
RNAcentral lists this ribosomal RNA (263 nucleotides) under uncultured bacterium. RNAcentral's name for it is "partial 16S ribosomal RNA". It matches the Rfam family "Bacterial small subunit ribosomal RNA", at positions 67 to 334 of the family's 1533-position model. The record is from RNAcentral.